ACACGUAUGAAAGUCAAGCUGAAAGACUUUACUCAAUGAUGUAAGUGGUGGUGCAUGGUCGUUCGUGGUUCGUGGAUUGAUUUGUCUGGUUUAUUCCGAUAACGAGCGAGACCCUAACGUUCCUAAUAGGGGGCCAUUAGCCCGAUCGGUCGAAAGGCUGGUCAGCUUUGGCUUAAUAUAAACUUCUUAGACGUAUCAGAGCCGAUAAGGUUCUUGAAAUGGGUUAAUAACAGGUCAGUCAUGCCCUUAGAUGUUCUGGGCCGCACGCGCGUUACAAUGGCACGUAAAGCGAGCGCUCAUCAAUAGGCUUUACCUGGGUCGAAAGGCCCUAGGUAAUCCAUAAACCCUGCCUUGACUGGGCUAGGUUGUUGUAACUAUCAGUCUUAAACGAGGAAUUUUUAGUAAUAGCCAGGUCAUUAACCUGCGCUGA
This 430-nucleotide ribosomal RNA is filed under the name Badhamia affinis. RNAcentral's name for it is "SSU rRNA". It matches the Rfam family "Eukaryotic small subunit ribosomal RNA", at positions 1230 to 1644 of the family's 1831-position model. Lineage: Eukaryota; Evosea; Eumycetozoa; Physariida; Physaraceae. The record is from RNAcentral.